ACUCGAUCAAGAAUCUCAAACGGGCCAAUGAACCUAGGCUAAACUUGCACUUCUUCCCAAAUCUCACCAUGCCCUUCAUAGGCGACACUCGGAGCGAUAAUCGCUCGCCAAACAUGUAAGCCACAUCUCGAACCUUGUGAUCUGCAUAGCUCUUUUUCUUGGAAUGAGCUGUAUGAAGCCUAUCCUGAAUGAUCUUGACCUUCUCUAAGGCCUCC
Molecule: long non-coding RNA, 215 nt
Filed under: Nicotiana benthamiana
Lineage: Eukaryota; Viridiplantae; Streptophyta; Magnoliopsida; Solanales; Solanaceae
Description: long non-coding RNA (NBEN_LNC028037)
Source: RNAcentral